RNAcentral lists this ribosomal RNA (253 nucleotides) under uncultured bacterium. RNAcentral describes it as "partial 16S ribosomal RNA". It matches the Rfam family "Bacterial small subunit ribosomal RNA", at positions 524 to 776 of the family's 1533-position model. The record is from RNAcentral.
UACGUAGGGGGCUAGCGUUAUCCGGAAUUACUGGGCGUAAAGGGUGCGUAGGUGGUUUCUUAAGUCAGAGGUGAAAGGCUACGGCUUAACCGUGGAGGGUCAUUGGAAACUGGUUGACUUGAGUGCAGAAGAGGGAAGUGGAAUUCCAUGUGUAGCGGUGAAAUGCGUAGAGAUAUGGAGGAACACCAGUGGCGAAGGCGGCUUCCUGGUCUGCAACUGACACUGAGGCGCGAAAGCGUGGGGAGCAAACAGG